UACAGGGGGGGCAAGCGUUGUUCGGAAUUACUGGGCGUAAAGGGUUCGUAGGUGGCCACUUAAGUCAGACGUGAAAUCCCUCAGCUUAACUGGGGAACUGCGUCUGAUACUGCGUGGCUUGAGUGCAGGAGAGGAAUGCGGAAUUCCAGGUGUAGCGGUGAAAUGCAUAGAUACCACCAAGAACCCCGAUUGCGUAGGCAGCUCGCUGAGCCGAAACUGACGCUGAGGCACGAAAGCGUGGGGAGCGAACAGG
Molecule: ribosomal RNA, 253 nt
Filed under: uncultured bacterium
Lineage: Bacteria
Description: partial 16S ribosomal RNA
Rfam family: Bacterial small subunit ribosomal RNA
Source: RNAcentral